Molecule: non-coding RNA, 165 nt
Organism: Oesophagostomum dentatum (nodular worm)
Lineage: Eukaryota; Metazoa; Nematoda; Chromadorea; Rhabditida; Strongylidae
Source: Rfam
AGCUUUGCGCAGAGGCGAGAACGUGACCAAUGAGGCUAUGCCGAGGUGCGUUUAUUGCUGGUGUGAAAACUUUCCACGGUCACACAGAAUCGUAUAGACCUCAUCGUUGUCUCUAUGAGCAGAUUAGAUUUUUUAAUAAACGCCGCUUUGAAGGUUUACUGCGUU